This is a long non-coding RNA of Oreochromis niloticus (Nile tilapia), 693 nucleotides long. RefSeq lists it as uncharacterized. The record is from RefSeq and is a predicted model, not a curated record. NCBI's taxonomy places the organism in Eukaryota, Metazoa, Chordata, Actinopteri, Cichliformes, Cichlidae. The transcript has 2 exons.
UCCCACUCUGACGUCCCACUUCUCUCACACACACCUUAGAAAUGCAAGAUGGCAGGGAAGCAAAAUCCAGAAGUACAUAUAAAAAGGAUCUGACUCAUCUAUGAAAUCAACAUGAAGUGGAACACUCGAGUCAUGUUUAGCAGGACAAACCUAAGUAGACGAGAGGGGUGUUCCCUUUCCCACAGUGCAUGAUGGGUAAUGAGGAAGAACAGCUAUUCCGAAAACUCUUGCUCUCUGACGUGCGCACACAUUGUAACAGCAAAGGAAACACCUUGGAAAUCUUGACCAGUGACUUUCCUCUUUAUUUCUCUGUAUUUCCUGUCUGUUGUGGGUUCCACUAUUACAAUGGACAGUUACAGGCGGAAAGGAAUGAGCUUUGAAUAACAACGGCCACAAGUAAACAUGCAUUGUUUUUAGUUUGUGGGAACAAUCAUUUUAUUACCCAUCCUUCUCUUUAAAAGGCUGGGCAGGGCCUGUCUUACUCAACUUUAAACUACCUGGAACCUCAUAUCUUUGUGUCAGUACUGUGAAAUCUGAGUACUGAGAAACUAUAUAAGUGUCUAUUUUUGAAAGUGUCUGUGUCAGUCAGUAUAUUUUGCAGCACGUCUGUUAGGUGUUUAAAAGGAAGCUAAAAUACACAUAUUACUUGAGAAUGCCAUUUUGGCUUUUGAGGUUUAAAACUAUAGUAAAAUA